UACGGAGGAUGCGAGCGUUAUCCGGAUUUAUUGGGUUUAAAGGGUGCGUAGGCGGGCUGUUAAGUCAGCGGUAAAAGCCCGGGGCUCAACCCCGGCGAGCCGUUGAAACUGGCUGUCUUGAGAUGUCGAGAGGUAUGCGGAAUGCGCAGUGUAGCGAUGAAAUGCUUAGAUAUUGCGCAGAACUCCGAUUGCGAAGGCAGCAUACCGGCGGCGAUCUGACGCUGAGGCACGAAAGCGUGGGUAUCGAACAGG
This 252-nucleotide ribosomal RNA is filed under the name uncultured bacterium. RNAcentral's name for it is "partial 16S ribosomal RNA". It matches the Rfam family "Bacterial small subunit ribosomal RNA", at positions 524 to 776 of the family's 1533-position model. The record is from RNAcentral.